GCGUUAUCCGGAAUGAUUGGGCGUAAAGGGUCCGCAGGUGGCUAUGUAAGUCUGCUGUUAAAGAACCUAGCUUAACUAGGUAAAAGCAGUGGAAACUACAAGGCUAGAGUGCGUUCGGGGUAGAGGGAAUUCCUGGUGUAGCGGUGAAAUGCGUAGAUAUCAGGAAGAACACCAGUGGCGAAGGCGCUCUACUAGGCCGCAACUGACACUGAGGGACGAAAGCUAG
Molecule: ribosomal RNA, 226 nt
Filed under: uncultured bacterium
Lineage: Bacteria
Description: partial 16S ribosomal RNA
Rfam family: Bacterial small subunit ribosomal RNA
Source: RNAcentral